This 978-nucleotide long non-coding RNA is filed under the name Triticum aestivum (bread wheat). Its description in RNAcentral is "long non-coding RNA (TAES_LNC007975)". The record is from RNAcentral. Lineage: Eukaryota; Viridiplantae; Streptophyta; Magnoliopsida; Poales; Poaceae.
AGAAGAUGAUCUGUAGCUCAUUGACUGUUGAGUUCCCUCGAGUCUCUCUUUCUUCCGGCAAGGUAAAGUUCAGUUUUCUGGUGACCAUGUUUAUUAAAUUCUUUGGUAGAAUCCAUAUUGAUUCUAAGAUGACAUUAUAGUGCAUUUUUGUCCAGACAUAUGAUUUUUCAUCAUCUGGUGUAUGUCAAUAUAGCACAGCCCACACAUACCCUCCUACCCUGAGUAAAUCUGAAUCCCCAUAUUUCAGUUCUGAACUCCAAAAUGUCGUACUCAAAUGGCUUGACCCCAGAUCCAUGUUCUGGACUCUUGAUAUUUUGUGAGGCCUUUUCAUUUAGCUGCUCAAUCUACAUAUGCAGAAAAUCACUCUCUGGAUGCGUGCAUUUCUGGCUGUACCUGAAGAAAUAACACUCAAACAUAUUGUCUUCCUUUGUGUUUCCGAUAAAUUAUUUAUAAAAACACACGUAAAACAGAAGUUGCAGAACCUGCAUUGGACCAUGCUCAUUUGCUUUGUCCAUUUUUUCGAAGAAAUAACACUCUCCAGAUUCCUAAGCAUUCAGAAUUAUGACUUAGUGUGCUAUUACAUUUCCCAGUAUCAGACGCUAUAUUUUUUGUGGGAAUCAUUGACACAGUUCCUUCAGAAAGUUGUAUCUCUGAAAUGGACAAACUGCUCUUAUGUAAUUCUACCAUCCAUUCUGAUGUUGAGGCAAAUAUACAUGUUAUGCAGGCGUACUAUUGUUCAAGAUAGUGUGUGUGAUAUAUGAGGGAACGGGGAGGAAGAUGAAUAUCAUGUUGUUAUAUCAUGCACAAAAAUUAAGGCGUAGAGAUUUGCCAUGAGGAAAGAGUGGAGGCUUCCAGAAGAAAAGGAGUUCUGGUACAUGGAACAGACUGGCUACAAAUCCUACUGGACAAGUAUGAUUAAGAGAUAAGAAAGAAAAAUUUGCUGUUGUUAUGGAGAGCCUGGUUUGUACGAGAUAACUG